CCUGCGGAAGGAUCAUUAUCUAUAACCGGGUGUGGC
RNAcentral lists this ribosomal RNA (36 nucleotides) under Pezizomycotina sp. 1T8D. RNAcentral's name for it is "partial 18S ribosomal RNA". The record is from RNAcentral. Lineage: Eukaryota; Fungi; Ascomycota.